UUGGUUGCAUGUAUGAGGAAGUUGGGAGGAAGUUUGCAUGAGGCAGAGCAGGGUUCUGCCUUACUAGCGAACCCAGUUUCAGCCGCCGAAGGAAGGUUCGGCCGCCGAACAUGCUAAGGAGGUGGUUUCGGCUGCCUAAGCUCGCCCCCGAAAGUUUGGACUUUCGGCUCUGGAGGGAGUUUCGACCGCCGAAGGUUAGGGACUUUGGUCUCUGGAAAGGAUUUUCGGCAGCCGAAGGUGCAGCCGAAAAUGCCUGAGUUUCGGCUCUGGAGGGACUUUCGGCCGCCGAACUUGCCGCCGAAAGUGCCCUGUCCAGCCUUCUUUUGCUUGUUUUAUGUGAUUGUUUAGGAUGUUUUAGGGGGGUUUUUUGGGGAGUUUUAGAGAGAUGUUCUUGAGUUAGUUUGGUCCCUCAUUUGAGUCCACCUGUGUAGGAACGGACCAGAGGAACCGAAGAGAUCAGCAGUGAGCACUGUCAGAGUCAGUACAGAGUUAGCCAGAGGUGAGUGGAACUAAACUUAAUCUUUCUAAUGCUUUUAGCAUGUUUCAUGCAUCAUGAUUAUGCAAUAGAUUGAUUGCAUUAGAAUUCACGAUUAUGUGCAUUGCAUUAUUUCUUGUAUUUGCGAACGGACAUAGAGCUUGUUUCAUUAGCCCUCCCAGUAAAGUCCUGAGGAGCCCCGAGAGGGCCGGGCACAGAGUACUUCGGUACUAUUGAUUGUAUAGUAAAGUCCUGAGGAGCUCCUUCGCGGGCCGGGCACUGAGGGAUUUUUGAUUUAGUCCGUUCGGUAUGUGAUUACUUGUGCUGUGAUGCAUUCCAUGUGAGCAUGUUUAUUAACAUGUUUUUAUUGUUCUGCUCACUGGGCUAGUAUAGCUCACCCCUCUCCCUUAACCCCAGUCUUGCAGGAUCAGAGUACAAGGGGAGUCAGCAGAGUACAUGAAGAGUAAAGAGUUGUGUGAUAGCAUAGUGUGGACAUGUACUAUUGUAAACAAGAUGUUUUAGUAUUGUAUAGAGUAUAGUAGUGUGCUUGACCCAUAUGUUUUGUAAAUCCCCUUUUGUAUGCAUGUUUUGUUUUUGUAAAUGUUUUCUUGAUGAGUAUGAAAACUAGGC
This 1105-nucleotide long non-coding RNA is filed under the name Manihot esculenta (cassava). RNAcentral's name for it is "long non-coding RNA (MESC_LNC000753)". Lineage: Eukaryota; Viridiplantae; Streptophyta; Magnoliopsida; Malpighiales; Euphorbiaceae. The record is from RNAcentral.